RNAcentral lists this ribosomal RNA (394 nucleotides) under uncultured bacterium. RNAcentral's name for it is "bacterial SSU rRNA". It matches the Rfam family "Bacterial small subunit ribosomal RNA", at positions 505 to 898 of the family's 1533-position model. The record is from RNAcentral.
GUGCCAGCCGCCGCGGUAAUACAGAGGUCCCAAGCGUUGUUCGGAUUCAUUGGGCGUAAAGGGAGCGUAGGUGGUCGGGUAAGUCAGAUGUCAAAUUUCGGUGCUCAACGCCGAAUCGCAUUUGAUACUGCCUGGCUAGAGGAAUUGAGAGGAGGCCGGAAUUCACGGUGUAGCAGUGAAAUGCGUAGAUAUCGUGAGGAAGACCAACGGCGAAAGCAGGCCUCUGGAAAUUUCCUGACACUGAGGCUCGAAGGCCAGGGGAGCAAACGGGAUUAGAUACCCCGGUAGUCCUGGCAGUAAACGGUGCACGUUUGGUGUGGGAGGAUUCGACCCCUUCCGUGCUGAAGCUAACGCGUUAAACGUGCCGCCUGAGAAGUACGGUCGCAAGAUUAAA